AGAGUUGAUCAUGGCUCAGGAUGAACGCUGGCGGCGUGCCUAACACAUGCAAGUCGAACGGGACUCAUAGUGACGGAGAUUCGGUCAAAGAAGCUUGAGUCUAGUGGCGGACGGGUGAGUAACGCGUGGGGAACCUGCCCUGUACCGGGGGGAUAACAGUGAGAAAUCACUGCUAAUACCGCAUAAGCGCACAUGGUCGCAUGACCGGGUGUGAAAAGCUCCGGCGAUACAGGAUGGACCCGCGUUGGAUUAGCUUGUUGGCGGGGUAACGGCCCACCAAGGCGACGAUCCAUAGCCGGCCUGAGAGGGUGAACGGCCACAUUGGGACUGAGACACGGCCCAGACUCCUACGGGAGGCAGCAGUGGGGAAUAUUGCACAAUGGGGGAAACCCUGAUGCAGCGACGCCGCGUGAAGGAAGAAGUAUCUCGGUAUGUAAACUUCUAUCAGCAGGGAAGAUAAUGACGGUACCUGACUAAGAAGCCCCGGCUAACUACGUGCCAGCCGCCGC
Molecule: ribosomal RNA, 509 nt
Filed under: uncultured bacterium
Lineage: Bacteria
Description: bacterial SSU rRNA
Rfam family: Bacterial small subunit ribosomal RNA
Source: RNAcentral